Molecule: ribosomal RNA, 440 nt
Filed under: uncultured Anaeroplasma sp.
Lineage: Bacteria; Bacillati; Mycoplasmatota; Mollicutes; Anaeroplasmatales; Anaeroplasmataceae
Description: partial 16S ribosomal RNA
Rfam family: Bacterial small subunit ribosomal RNA
Source: RNAcentral
ACGGGAGGCAGCAGUAGGGAAUUUUCGGCAAUGGACGCAAGUCUGACCGAGCAACGCCGCGUGAACGAAGAAGUUAUUCGUAAUGUAAAGUUCUUUUAUUAGGGAAGAAAAAACAAAUUGACGGUACCUAAUGAAUAAGCUCCGGCUAACUACGUGCCAGCAGCCGCGGUAAUACGUAGGGAGCGAGCGUUAUCCGGAAUUAUUGGGCGUAAAGGGUGCGUAGAUGGCAUAUUAAGUUUCUUGUUAAACUGCUGGGCUCAACCCAGUAUUGCAAGAGAUACUGAUAAGCUAGAGUACGAGAGAGGCAAGUGGAAUUCCAUGUGUAGCGGUAAAAUGCGUAAAUAUAUGGCAGAACACCAGUGGCGAAGGCGGCUUGCUAGCUCGAUACUGACAUUGAGGCACGAAAGCGUGGGGAGCAAACAGGAUUAGAUACCCUGGUA